Oryctolagus cuniculus (rabbit) is the source of this 28679-nucleotide non-coding RNA. The record is from RefSeq and is a predicted model, not a curated record. NCBI's taxonomy places the organism in Eukaryota, Metazoa, Chordata, Mammalia, Lagomorpha, Leporidae.
GGAAGGGAGUUUUCUGUAAUUCUUCCUGGUAUGUUGAACCCAUUUUAUUUAUGGUUAUGCAGCUGUACAUUUAGAGUGUGAUCAUUGGAAGAAACCUCUGUGGUUUCCAGGUGCACUUCCUUCACUGAGGAAUCUGAGAGCUUGGGGCAUUGGCCUGUUUGCCCAAGGUCACAGAGCCAGCAAGAUGCAGAGUUGGGGUAGGAGCCCAGUGAAUAGAUUCUAGGUCCUGUGUUCCAGAUAUGUCUCUGAGAAGGAUUAUCCCGAGAUGGGGCAGAGAAAAAUGAGGAGGAAAUAGAGGCAGAGAAGUUGGAGAAACAGACCAGAGAAGGUGGGAGCUGGAGACGGGACGCGUGGGAAAGCCAAGCUCUGAGCAGAAUCAGCUGUGAGGUGGAGGGCAUUUCUGCCGCCCUCGGAGUGGAAUAAGGAGCGGCUUGGCUGAGGCCAGGGUGCAGAGGGGCCAGCUGAGAGUCCUGCCUGGGCCCGAGACGGACCUGGAGUCCCUGUGGUCUCUCCUGGUGACCCUCUGAUUUCAGAGUAUGCUGGAGGCUGCUUCGGAGGCCUGUGGCUGAGGACAAGCAGGAUCUGGACAUGUGGGAGGCAGCUAUGCCAGCGGGAUGCUGGCGAAUGCUGAGGGGUCCCAGUUCUGCUGAAGCUCCCCCCAACCUUUAAUGCAAAACUACAGCAAAGUUUUCCAUGACAUUUCUGUUUGAUGAAAGCAGCAUUUUCUCCUCUGUCGUUCAUGGGUGCUUUGUACAUUUUAUGAGUUGGCGAUUCAUGGACUCCCUUUCCAGAGAUGUCUGGAGAUGACUGCUUUGCUGAAUUGGAGCUCAUUUUGGGGGAAGCCUCUGGCUUAUGACCUGAGCUAAGCCUCAUAAUGUUUCAGUGGGCAAUUCAAUAGCUGUGAACAGUGGUUAAGCGGAGCAUGAGCCAUUCAAAGGCCAGGAUAAAAGGUGAUAAGACUUUGAAGUCUAUAGCCCAAGCCCUGAGCUGGCAAUGAAUAGUACUUUUCUUUGGCCAAUUUAGGAAGUGUCUUAUGGAUCCUUGGUUGCUCUUGCUUUUUGUCUGCGGUGGGCCCAUUGUCUGUUCCUGUGUUUUGCUGCCUGUCUUCCUUUUCCAUUGUUUCGCUCCUCUAUCCAUUUCUUUCUCUCUCCUCCCUUGUAUGUUUCUCCUAGCUCCCCUGCCCGUCCUUUCUUUACUAUUGAUGAUACAGCUUUGUAGUGUGUUUUAAUGCGUUUAUUGCACCAUUAAAGUUUCACGUUCUCUGUUCUUAAUUUAAAAUCACCGUUCAGUCUUUUUGAAUGUGUAUGUGUUUUACACACAAAAUAAGCAAGACAAACAAACCAAACCCAAUUAAAUUGCUUUUUAUUUCCAUGUGGUCUUUCAUUGAUUUUUCCCCCCUUUUCUUUUGUGGUCAGUAGUAGCUCUUCAUAAAAAGACAAAAUUUCCUAGGUCUCUGUCAUGUGGUUAUUGUUUUUACAACAAAACCAGCUACCAUAAUAGAAAAAGUUUCCACUCUUCUAUUGUGAGCCACAAGGGACACCCUUUCCCAAGAGAUGUGCCCUAUUUUAUGACUUCCUCCCUGGAAGGGGUGUCUUUAAUAUGUUCUCCAGCAGGAGCCGUGCUCUGAGGGGUGAGGAUGCUUUUGGUGGAGAUGGGGCUUUGGAGCAGGCUGUGGCCAAAAGAGUGUGCCUGGGAAGAAUUUAGACUGAUGGCUCCUCUUUGUUUCCCCAGGCUGAGCUAACCCAGGUGGCUGUAACAGCACCCAGACCUCUUUGGGAGAGAACGAGGUGCUUUCUAGUUAGUGCUGGGUUGGGACUGUGAGGCGUCUUGUGUUCACCCUGGAGGGUGGUGUGAAGUGCAGACGCUGUAAUGGGUCUAUGCUGGACAACCAUUGUCAUAUAUAUUUUUUACAAGAAAACUUUUUUAAAGAUUUAUUUGAAAAGCAGAGUAUUUUUUGCUGCCUGUCAAAAGAGGUAGAAGCAGAGAGAGAGAGAACGUGAGCAAGCGAGGUCUUCCAUCCGCUGGUUCACUCCCCAAAUGGCCACAGCAGCCUGAGCUGAGCUGAUCCAAAGCCAGGAGUUAGGAGCUUCUUCCGGUCUCCCACGUGGGUGCAGGGGUCCAAGCACUUAGGCCAUUUUCUGCUUAUUCAAGCCACAGUAGAGAGCUGGAUCAGAAGUGGAGCAGCCGGAACUAGAACGAGUGCCCGUAUGGGAUGCUGGCACUGUAGGCGGUGACUUUUGCCUGCUACACUACAGCGCCAGCCCUCAUUGUCAUAUCUUUCAGACUCCGAUUAAUUACAGAGAAGGCUGAGUCUUGACGCGCAGGGGUCUACAAGUAGGUCGGUGUCUGAAGUGGGUCUCCCAUGCAAGAAAUCGCCGUGAAGACUCCAGUUUUUCUAUUAAAAAUUCACAUGCAUUUUGUAUUCUUUCUAAAAACGUCUGUGCUGGUUUUAGUAUAAAAGUAUUUACACUAAACAGUAAGUGCUUUGCUGUUGAAUACAAUUGAUGGUCCAGGAAAAUAUUGUUUAUCUUGGGCCUUCCUUUCCCCUGGUCCUCCCCAAAUGUGCACAGCAAGCCAUAUACUACAGCCGGAGAAGCCAGGGGGAGGGCAGGCGGCAGCCCUGCCUGGGGAGAACCCCUCCAGUCCUUCCUUCCUGCGGGCUCUGCGGGACCCAAGCAUUCAGAGCGCUCACCGUCCCCAGAGGCGGGUCCAGCCAGCUGCUGUGCUCCUGUGUGCAUUUCCCUGGCUGACUCCUGCUUCUUGCGUCUGAAAGAGCUGCCGCUUCCCCCGGAGUUCAUCUUCUCCUUUUGCCAUUGCUGCUCCCCUUGUCUUCCCCAGAUUCCGAAAACUGGGAAGAGAAAGUCCCUGUUUCAUCUUUCUUCUUCAGUUAGAUUCUCAUUUCUGCGAGUUAAUAUGUGCAGAGUUUUAAUGCUGCAAGGAGUGUGGGAAGCCUGUGGCACCCCUCCUCAUCCCGGGCAUCCGUCCCCGGAGUCGUCACUGAACAUGAUUUUCUGUUGCUGCAAUAAAUGACUGCUACAGACUUAGUGGCUUCAGACAGCUCAAAUUUGUUUUACAUUUCCGUAGAUUAGAGGUCUGAAAGGGGUCUCCCAGGGCAGAAAUCAUGGCGUUAGUGGGGCUGUAACCCUUUCUGGGGAGGCUGCUUCUUCCCUGCUCUCCGCAGUAUGCAGAGGCCACCUUUGGCCUGAGCUUGGAGCCCCUGCACCGUCUUCAGACCUAGGAGUGGCUGCUUGAGUCCCUCUCCCACUGCCUCUCACAGGUCUUCUGCCGCUGUCACACCUUCACCUGACUCCCUCCUCUUCCUUCCUCUUCCACUUUUCUGUGUGAUUACACUGGAUCAUCCACAGUUGUGUCUGUGUGUUAGACACUUGAUCAGCCAUCUUCAUUCCCCUUUACCAGGUAACCUCCCAGGGUCAGACAUCUGGGGUUAGGAUGUGGACAUUUUGAAGGUCUCCAGUAGUCACUUACAACCCUUUCAGUAGUUUUCUUCUGAUAUAAGCAACACAUUUAUAAGUUACGUUUAAAAUGUUCUUCCCUGAUGGUUCAUUUUAGAUUUACUUUUACUUUGUUUUUCAAACAUAUGAAAAUAAAUAUUCACAAAUAAAUAGAGAGCAAGUGAGCGAGAGAUCUUCCAUCUGCUGAUUCACUCCCCAAGCCUACAACAGCCAGGACUGGGCCAGGUUGAAGCCAGGAGCCUGGAACUCCAUCCAGGUCUCCCAUGUUGCUGGAAGGGUUCCAAGCACUUGAGCCAUCAUCUGCUGCCCCCCAGGGUGCUGCCAGGGUACAUUAGUGGAAAGCUGGAUUGGCAGUGGAGGGGCUGGGAUUGGACUGGCACUUUGAUAUGGAAAGCAGUUGUCCCAAGCUGCAGCUUAACCUGCUGCGCCACAGUGUCUGCUCCAGAUGUUAUUUUUAGAUGUUCUUUUUGUUAUUGUUGUUAAAGAUUUAUUUAUUCAUUUGAAAGGCAGGAAGGCAGGGAGGGAGAAAGAGAGAGAGAGAGAGUUCAUCUGCUGAUUCACUCCCCAGAUGGCUGCAGCAGCUGGGGCUGGGCCAGGCUGAAGCCAUGUGCAUGGAACUCCAUCCAGGUCUCUCAUGUGGGUGAAAGGGACCCAAGCCAUCUUCCCCUGCUUUUCCAGGCACAUUAGCAGGGAGCUGGAUCAGAAGGGAAAGAGCCAGGACUUGAACUGGCACUCCUGGGAUUCCAGCAUUGCUGGCAACGGCUUAACCCGCUGUGCCACAGUGCCGGCAGCUGGCUGUUAUUUCCUGAUGUCCUUCUGUGGAGUAGAGGAGCCCUUGUCACACCUCACCCGGUUAUUCCCUUCCGCUGUCCUGCCAGUAUGGUUACAUCUGGUUUUGGUUACACCGACGCUCAGUGUUUACAUUCUAUCGACUGUGUAAGUAGCGUUCAUGGCCCAGCCAUGUAGUGUACUAUAGUGAUGUUUCCCCUCUUGUGCGUUUGUUGACUUAAAAUUGCCGUGUUUUUUCUAUUUAUGUUAUCUUCAAUGUACUCAUUACUGAUUCCCGAUGUAUACGGUAGGGAUGUUUUAAAACAUCUCUGUUUUAUAGCACGUGUCCUUUUUACUUUAGUUGGCGGAGACUUCCCUGUCGGGCCUCCAUCCCGCUCCAGAGGUGCUUGCCCAGUGACCUUUUGGCCUGCAGCAUGACUCAUCCUGGGAAUCCCCUCACCUUAUCCUGGGUUGGGUCCUCUGUUUCCUCUCUGGUUUAUUCCUCUGCGGGUUUCUGAGAGUCUGUGCAAAUGGUCCAGCUUGCACGUCUGAAGUGUUUCUCUAUGCUUGAACUUGAUUGGUGAUUUGACUCAUACAGACUUUUAGGUUGAAAGUCAAUUUCCCUUCGAGGUUUGAAGGCAUUGCUCUACUGUCUUCUAGGUUCCAGUAUUAAUGUCAGAAAUUUGGAUGCCAUUCUGAUUUCUUGUUGUCUGUAACCUGAUUUCUCAGUGAAAGUUUUUAGGAUCUUCUCUUUCCUUAUGAUUGAAAUUCCUUGCUUUAGAAAUUAUUGGUCCUAGUCGGUAGUGUAUGCUUUUAAUCUGAAGACACAUAUUUCAGUUUUGGGACAUCUUCAUAUAUAUAUAUAUGUACUUAAUAAUUUUCUCCAUUUUCUGUGUUUCACCUUUGGAACUCCUACUGGUUGGGUGUUGGGCCUCCUGGAUUGAGCUUCUAAUUUUAAAAUCUUUUAUUUCCUGUUUUCCAUUAAAUUCUGUUUUUGUUUUACUUUUUGAGAGAUAGUUGCAGCUUUUUUAUCUUUAAUUCUGUUCAGUUUUUUAACUUCUGCUUUUGUGUUUUUACAUGAGAUGAACUUGCAUGUUUUACUUUCUGAGAGCUCCCUAGUUCUCCGAAUGUCCCCUUUUCUUUUUUAAAUAACAUCCUGUUCUUGUUUCAUGAGUACAAUAAAAUCCUGUGUUUUCUUUUCUUUUCCCUUUUCUUUUCUCUUCUUUUUACUCUCCCCCCGUGGUUUUCUGCCAUUCGCUCAUCUGUCUUUCUUUCUGCUGAUCCCCUUUCUGCUUCCUUUGGGGACUGCAUUUCCCCGGGUCACCCUUCCAGCACACUGAUCCUUGUCUGACCAUCUAGAUAGCAGUGGAAGCCACACUGCUGGUUGGGCGUCUGUGUGGUCGUAAGGGGCUUGUUCGCUUCCUUGUAGGGUGACCCGGCAGAGAACUACUUCUCCCACCCUUUUUUCCCCUCCCACUGGAGAAACCUGCAUAAUCAGUGCCUGUGGCUCUUUGCUCUGGGACUUUCCUGGAAAGGGUUUUCCUGGAGAGCAUUUUGCCUGGGGGUGGGGUAAGGUGGGUAACAGCUUCGGUGUUCUGCACGGUGGGAAUGUGAAUAAGAGAGGGGCUGGCUGUUACCCUGCUUGUGUGCAGACUGCUAGGUGUGCUGAGCGUCCAGGUCUUUGGAAAGUUGCCCCUCUCCCCGCCCACCUCACUCAGCUCUGUCAGAAUCCGAGUUUCUGGUGCAAGUUGGACUUGGACCUUUACCUUGUGCUGGCUGAGGGAGGAAACCACCAGGCUGAGCAGGGAGCCUGGGGCUGAUGGCUCCUCAGACAGGCUUGUAGCAGGCUGUCUUUGUUUUCCCCCUAUCCUGCUUCUACCCUUAGAGUCCCAGGGCCUCCAGCUCCCGAGCCUUCUCCAGGUUCUGUGCUGGGAGUUGGUGACUUACUUAGUAGUUUUUUGGCAGAGCAAACAGAACUGAAACCUAAGUCAGCUGCUGGGCAUGGAGGUCUCCUCUCCCUCCCUGGAGUUCUGUUGACACAGCGUUGUCUGCUAUUGUUUCCUUUCCUUGAAGAAACCAGUUCCUCUACUGGUCUUUCAGUGGGGUUCUGGGAGAGAGCAGAGGUAGGCACAGGUGUCCAGUCUGAUGGAGUUUCUUUAAUCUCUUUGUCCAUGCCCUUAGGCUUGUGCCGGAUGUAAGUCAUAGAUCAAGAAAUGUUUGAUUGAAUGCAUAUUUGUUUUUAAGAUGACACGCAUGCAGUUGGUCACCAGAUUUCAGUAGAGUCCCACACACGCAGUCUUACUAUUGUGAUAAUGCCAGGCAGUGGAUCCUACCCUACUUCCUGUGCAGUGUAGGCUGAGAGGCAGCACUGACUGCUGGGCUGGGGGUGGCAGGGCUGGGUGCUGGCUCCAGCCCUCUCGCUAGCUACCUGGGUCACCUUGAGAAGUUACGUAACCUCUCUGCAUCUUGAUAUCCUCAACCUUAAAGUGAGGUGCGGGUGAAUCCUGUACCUACUGUGUGCAAGGCACAGCGCUUCGAUUCUUCCAGGUAUCUUUAAGGGAGCCUGUGCUGUGACAUGGGUCAUGCUGAAUUGAUUGCACUUGGCUUCUAUAUUUCACACAGCUUAGUUCUGUGUCUUCUUCUGCUUCUUUUUUCUUUCUUUUUUUUUUUUUUUUUGAAGAUUUAUUUAUUUAUUUGAAAGUCAGAGUUACAGAAAGAGGGGGAAAGAGGGAGAGACAGGGAGAUUUUUCUAUCCUCUGGUUCACUCCCCAAAUGGCUGUAACACCCAGGGCUGGGCCACACUGAAGCCAGGAGCCAGGAGCUUCAUCCAGAUCUCCCACAUGGGUGCAGGAGCUCAAGCACGUGGGCUGUCCCUGCUGCUUACUUAUCCCAGGCCGUUCAGCAGAGAGCUCGAUUGGAAGUGGAGCCGCUGGGACUGGAACCAGUGUCCAUAUGGGAUACUGGUGUUGCAGGUGGAGGUUUUACCCACUGUGCCACAAUGCCAGCCCCCUUCAAUAUUUUGGACAAAGUCCUCUGCAUGUAUUACCUCUUACUGUUUCUAGACUGUAGGCUCCUGGUGAGGACGGCCUACCAGUCAUCUUUGUAGCUCCUUUGUCUACCACGGGCCUACCACAUGCAAGUGUUGGUAGUGUAUUGUUCUGCACACUCCCUAGCCCACUUAUGGAGCUGGGGUCUUGAGGGAACUGAUGUUAAAGUCAGUGGGGAGAACGAUUCUGUACCCCAGCCCUGACACUGAAGGACUCUGUGCCUCUAAGCACAUCGCAGUCAUGUAUUUGUUUAAUAGGCUCCAUGCUGUUGUCACUUAAGAGUGUAUUCAUCGGACCAGCACUGUGGUGUAGUAGGUUAAGUCUCUGUUUGUGGUGCCAGAAUCCCAUAUGGGUGCUGGUUUGUGCCCUGGGUGCUCUACCUCCAAUCCAGCUCCCUGCUGAUGGCCUGGGAAAGCAGUGGAAGAUGACCCAAAUGCUUGUGUUCCUGCACCCACGUGGGAGACCUGGAAGAAACUCCUGGCUCCUGGCUUCAGAUUGGCCCAGCUCCAACUGUUAUGGUUAUUUAGGGAGUGAACCAGUGAGUGGAAGACCUCUCUCUUCCUCUCUACCUCUCUCUGUCUGCAAUUCUACCUCUCAAAUAAAUAACUAAAUCUUUAAAAAAUGUAUGCAUCUUAACUAUGGACAUGAAUUGCAGGCAGAACCCUGCAAUUACAGUGUUUAAGAACAUGCUAAGUGUUUUUUUUUUUUUAAUAAUGUAUUUUGGUUUUCUCACACCUUUGUGCUUAUGUGCCAGAACCAGUAGAUUUAGGUAAGUGAAGUAGAACUUUUCAUCGAGAGCUACUGGCACCAGGCUUCAUUGGGAGCCCUGAACUCCUUGUUGAGCCAAGGCUGGACACCUACAGGCCAGGGAGCCUGAAGAAUCAAUGCCAGUGUAGGAGACGAAGUAUAUUAGAGCAGCUGAAAAGUCCCUGGCUUUUGAUUUGCUCAACAACUAGGAACUGAGCACCCCCUAUAGACCAGGGUCCGUGUGGGCCCUGGGAACAGACAAAAAUGGCACCUGCCCUCCUGGGGUUUACAGAGCAGUGCUGAGCUGUGUCAUGUGGUUGUGACUAACACAUGUGCUUAUUUACAUUAAUUAAAACGAAAAAAUCCAGUUUCUUAUCUUUGCCUCAUUUCAAGUGUUCAGUGGCUGCGUGUGAUCGGUGACUGCCCUAUGAACAGUACAGAUCUAGAACAUUCCAUCAUUGCAGGUGGUUCUCUUAGGCAGGCUGGACUAUGGAGCUGAGAUUCUGUGUCAGGACCAGGUAUCUUUCUAGCUUCACCACAGAGGCCACUGAGGCACAGCUGGGAACACACCUGUCUUGGAGUGUGGCUCCUGUCUCCCUGAAGUGAGCUAGGGGUGCAGAGUGACUAAGGGGGUGGUCUCUGUGCUCAGGUUGCCUGGGUUCAGAUCUUACCUCUGCUACUUCCCGGCUUUGGGACCCAGGGCAAGCCACUGCCUCGUGCCUCAGUUGCCUCACCUGAGAAAUGGAGAGAACAACAGUACCUCCUAGCUCAUAGGAUUGCAGGGAGGAUGAGUGAUCCAGUGGUACAGACCUUGAGAACUGUGCUGGCACAUGGUAAUCAUACAGAAUCACAGGUCACUGCUGUCAGACGAGAGGACACAGGAGGUACUGAUGGAGCCAGUGCGCCAUCUUCCAACAGGAGACUGGAGCGGAAGAAGAAUGUUGGCAGGGAAGGCUGUUUGUGGAGUUGACUGACCACCUGCAGAAGGACACACGUGAACAUUUCUAAGCCCAGGACUACUUCCAUCACGUGUGCUUAUGUAUAAAAAUGCCUGUGUGUGUGUGUGUGUGAGUGUAUGUUGUGGCACAGCAGGGUAAGCCAUCGCUUGUGUUGCCACAUCCCAUAUCUGAUUGCUGUGCUGCUGUGCUUCCAAUUCAGCUCCCUGCUAAUGCACCUGGGAAGGCAGUGGGUGAUGGCCCACGAGCUUGGUUCCCUGCCCACGUGGGAGACCUGGAUGGAAUUAUGGACCCCUGGCUUUGGCUUGGCCUCACCCCAGCUGUUGUAGGCUGUGAAGUGAAACAGUGGGUGGAUGGAAGAUCCCUCUUUCUGUGUCGCUCCCUCUCCUUUUCAAAUAAAUAGGUGAAACAAAUCUUUUAAGAAAAAUGCCAGCAUUUCUCAGAGCCCUCUGUGUCUUGAAACUGGUUGUUAGGGCUUGGAACUGGGUCUUUCCACUGUCUCCUUCUUCCUGGUUUCCCCCUACCUGGGCUGGUCCCCAAACACCCUUGCUCCCCUCUCUACCUCAGAGAGUGGGGUCACGUUCAGUGCCCCCCCUCCCCCCAGCCUCCUCAUGGAACUGAGGGAUGCCCUGCAGGAGUGAACGAGAGAGAAAGGACAGAAGGCUGCGGUGAUCCAGCACUUGGGUCCUGGUCUUGUCCUUGAGGGUUCAGUCUCCUGAUGAUGUCAUCUUCUCGUGGCUCAGUCUCUCCAGCAGGCAGGUCAGUGGCAAGUAGCCCUGCCUUCCCAGAGGGGCUCUGUGUGGCUGGAUGAGGAGAGAGAGCUCUGAUGUUAGUCCCAGGGAUGAGACGGGGAGGGGGCAGGGGAUUCCCGGCUUGCAUGUGGAACUUUAGCUUAAGGAAGCGCGUUAGUAGCCACAGAGGUCGGUGUGGGCCCCGCCCCCUGGAGUUGAUUUCCGCCCAGCACAGCAGGGGCAGGGCUCUUGUCAAGGGCCUUUCAGAUCAUAGAGCAGGAAGGCUUCAGUGUGACAAGGCGUGUGUGGGGAGGUACGUGCAGUGAGGACACCCUGCGGACACGUGAUGGAUGUGGCACCUUGCCACGCCUGAGUGAGGAACGCAGGGCAGGUAGAGGCUGGGCGUCUCGUCGAGGCAGACCCAGGGGCAGCCUGAUUCUCAUCGCCGUGUAGAAAUACAGGUUUUCUCUGAGUCCUGGGGAUCAGAAGUUUUGAGUACUUGAAGCUUUAACCUGUAACUGACGCUGCCAACCUCGUUCCCGCUCUGGCCUUGACUUUGGGUUAUCAUGGGUGACUCUCUGGUCGGUAGCAUUUGUAAAAGGAAGGGGUGCUUAGUAGAUUCCAGAAUCGCCCCUGUGCCCCCCUGAGCCAUUGCGGAGGCUCAUGGCUCUGUUGUGCAAAGCCCGAUGUUUUGAUAAUUAGCGUCAACCUGACGGCUGACCUUUGAGCUGGGUUUCCGAGAAUGAAAGGUCAUGAGGGCAUGCCUCAUGAAACCCAAACAAUCUCUUGCUGCCUGGCGGCUGUGGCACCGGUAGCUGUGUACACGAGCGGUUUCCUUGUCCAGUGUCUGCGGGUUGCUUUUCUCCACCUCGAGUUUGUCUUUAGUCGGGGCAGAGCUGGUAUGCGGUAUCUGUGUCAUGUGAGCACAGAAUGGUGGUUAGGGCUUGGAGUUGCCUGUGCUGCACUGGCAGGGGGAAUGGGGCCGUUUUCCUGGUAGGCUGAUGUUAGGGAGUCAUUGCAGGGCUGCUGGGACGUGGAUCCUGCUGUGGCUUCUGUGCUCAGGCCUUUCUUCACGGGCAGCGCACCCAGGAGGCUGGCGCUAGGACACUGGGUAGGGCCUGGAAGCCAAGGAUGACGUGAGACAGGCCGGAACUGGAGCAGGGAGAUCUGAGUCGCCGCCCCAGUGGCCGGGGCAGUGGGAAUCUGGGUGGAGCAGCCAGGGUAAGAGUGGGAACAGCUUUUAAGCUGGACAAAGUGAAUAGAGGCUGUGGAGAAAGCAGACCCCCAACAGGAGCAGCAGUGGGAGUCGCUGGGGAAAGCCGAGGCUUGGGGGAGCCGAGAGCCACUGGAGGUGGCUGCCGAGCCCCAGACCUGUACCAAGGCAGCGUGAGGCCUUUUAGGGCGACUUGACGUUUGCUUCUCGGAACCUGUGUGUCAGACGUGGUGCAUUGGCGAGUUGGCGUGGCAGGUGUGAGGGGGCGAGUCCCCCUAGGAACUGGGAAAUCUUAGUCAUGCCCGGGCACUGACAGAAGAUACGAUGCUGUUUCAGACAGCUGCUGCAGGAGGCUCAGCAGCCGCCAGCCCGCAUUCCGGGCUACGGCCUUGGCUUUUUCUUUAAUUAUUAAAGCCAGGGGACGUUGAAAUACUCACCUGAAGCAUUGCUCUGAUGGCUUUUCCUUCUCGGGGUCAGAGGGGCUCCAGCAGAGAAGACGUUUUGUGGCCUGUGGUUCUAAGAUGCUCCUGGUGUCUCCCUCCUGGAACACAGGUGCUUGCCCGGGCAGCCAGGAAAGCCAGAAGAAACCCCAGGCAGCGGGGUGCAGACCUCCGUGGGCUGUCUUGCAGCGUGGUGUCUGCUCUGAGCACGUCCUUACCGAGAGGAGGAUAGUGUGUUUGUUUUUAUCGUAGGCCAGGCAGAAGCAGUGCUGUUAGAAGGCGUAAAAUAUUUAACACUCUUUAAAAAAUUAAACUGCCCGGGAGACUUCCAUCGGUGGUGCCCAUGGCAACAGGCAUCGUUCUCAAGAGUGCCUUCCUGGGGCUUGUGGGUGUCUCAGAAGGGACGGGAUUGGGGCCUGGUCUUGGGAGGGCCGGAUGGGAGGCUGAGCGCUCACCUGCUUUGCGUGGGCAGAGGCUGGGCUGAGCCACCCCUUCAGCAGUCCAUAGUGGUAGUUGGGGUUGGGGUGGGUGGGGAGGUGGCCUAUUUUGACAGGAGGAGAAGGAAUAGAGGGAAGAUAACUUACUGCCCCUUCGGGGUUUGUCCAUUCCUUCUUUUUGUGGAUUGACCUCUAUUGUUCCUGGCACUUGCUUUCCCUGCUUCAGGGCUUUUCGCUUGUGUGGUUUCCCUAUCCUGGAGUGCUCCUUCCUCCUCUGUCUGGACAGCUCUGUUGUCUCCUUCCAUUGUCCCCUGGAGCAUGGUGUUCUCGGGAAAUGGAGCCGCCAGGCCAGGUUAAAGUCUGCACCAUGCAGGCUAUUGUGGCUGUGGGGUUCUGCGCAGAACCUCUGCCUAGCAUUUGUCUCUGCCGCCUUGGCACACUUGCUGGGCAUAUCAUUGUUUGCCUACCAGUCUGUUGGAUCCCAGGGCUGCCUGGUCACUCUUGUGUCUUAAGUGCCUACCAUGUACCUGGCCUGCAGGAGGCGCCACACCACCUGUUGGGUAAAUUAAUGCAUUUAUGAAGUUUGGGUUCUGUACAAGGGUUUGGGAAUACAAAGAGAAUAAAACAUCCCCACUAUCCUCAACGAAAUCCUAAACUAGGGCAGUGGGUGAGCUCUCAAGACCCCCUUGGAGGUGCAGGAAGAAAACAGUCUUGCCUGAGUUUUGUUUGCUCUUUUACUAAAAGACAUAGCUUUGCUAUUUAAAGAGGGACACAUUUCAUAAUUAGCUUGGAGGUUAAUGUGCUCACAGCUGUUUCACUAAUAGGAAAGUGCCAUCAGGAAGUUUGGUGAAGGCCUCUCUGAAGGGAGAGGGAAGCAAAUGAAAGGGCUUUUUAUGCAAAAGUGUGCUGAGCACUAUGUCAGGGCAAGUACAAGGCCAGAAGAGGGCAUUCCUAUUAGUACGCAGAGGCUGGCACGUGCAAAGGCACGGUGGCUUGGUGGGAAGAAGCCUCAGUGCGCUGGGAGAAGCGGCGAACACAGUAACAAGGCAGGGCUAGGGCUUGCUGGGUCCAUACUACCAGGAGGGGGUGGGGACGACAGGAGGGAAUACCAAAUGGAUAAGACUGGGCUCCUGCCUGCAGGGUGGGUGUGGUGUGUUAAGGGAGAUGAGGGAGGAGAAUUGCAAAUGCCUUAGGAGAGACUCAGCAGAGAGGAUACCUGGGGUUCAGAAGAGGUUGGAUAGUUUGGUUGGGAGAGAUCAGACCUUGUCAUGCUUUAACAAUCUACCAUGGGUGGGGCUGGCAUUUUGGUGCAGUGAGUUAAGCUGCCACCUGUGAGACUAAACAACCUGCUCCUGAAUGAACCGUGGGUCACAGAAGAAAUCAAAAGAGAAAUCAAAAACUUUCUGGAAGCAAAUGAAGAUAACACAACAUAUCAAAACUUAUGGGAUACAGCAAAAGCAGUGUUAAGAGGAAAAUUUAUAGCAAUAGGUGCCUCCAUCAAGAAAUUGGAAAAACACCAAAUAAAUGAACUAUCAAUGCAUCUCAAGGAUCUAGAAAAAAUACAGCAAACCAAACCCAAAACUAGAAGCUGGCAUCCCAUAUGAGCACCAGCUCAUGUCCCUGCUGCUCUGCUUCCAAUCCAGAUCCCUGCUAAUGUGCCUGGGAAGGCAAUGGAGGAUGGCUCAAGUGCUUGGGCCCCUGCACCCGUGUGGGAGACUCUGAUGAAGUACGGAUUCUGGCUUCUGCCUGGCCCAGCCCUGGCCAUGUGGGUAGUAAACCAGUGGAUGGAAGAUUUUUCUGUCUUUCUCCUCUUCUUUUCUCUCUGUAACUCUACCUUUCAAAGAAACAAAGAAAGGUUAAAAAAAUAGUCUAGCAUGGACAAGGUUACACAAGGGGAAGGAGUUUGGCUUCACAUUAUGGCCUGUCUUGGGUUAAGACUUCUCCAUGAAGUUCUUCUUUGUCUAUUCCUGCCCAGUGGGAUUCAUUCUUUUCCUUCCUUCCUUCCUUCCUACCUUCCUUCCUUCCUUCCUUCCUUCCUUCCAUUUUUAUUUAUUUGACAGAGUUAGACAGUGAGAGAGAGAGAAAGGUCUUCCUUCCGUUGGUUCACCCCACAAAUGGCUGCUAUGGCCAGAGCUACGCCAAUCUGAAGCCAGGAGCCAGGUGCUUCCUCCUGUGGGAGGUGCUGCACCCCUGUGGGUGCAGGGGCCCAAGCACUUGGGCCAUCCUCCACUGCCUUCCUGGGCCACAGCAGAGAGCUGGACUGGAAGAGGAGCAACUGGGACUAGUACCCGGCGCCCAUAUGGGAUGCUAGUGCCUCAGGCGGAGGAUUAACCAAGUGAGCCAUGGCGCUGGCCCCCAGUGGGAUUCUUAACAUCACAUGACUCAGGUCCUUCCUUGGGCUGUGUUUACCAGAUCACAACAUUGUAUAUGAACAAGAAAAUGGCACAUGGCUAUGUGGGUAGGCACCCUCAGUGUGUUCACUUACCUGUGUAGUCAUGCACACUCCUUUCCUAGCUUCUCUUGUUUUCAAGUCCCAGGGCUUGAAGUAAUUAUGUAAUUAGAAUCCACACUGAGUGUGGCUAGAUAAGGUGUAAUUAGAGAGGAAAGCCUAAUUUUGGAAGAAUGAUAAGAGGUCAUUUGACUCAGUCCGGGCCCAAAUCCAAUCUUGGGAGAACAGUAGGAGGUCAUUUGGAUGUAGGGAGCUUGAGGCCACCCAGGGGCCCAGAUUGGCCUGAGAACUGGACAGAUUCUGUUUCAGCUCACUGUGAAGGCCGUUCAUUGAACGUCUUUUUGGUAGAGGGACUUGUCCUGGAUCUGUGGAUCUUAGGGAGGACCCGUCCUAGAGACCCGCGAUGAGGUCCUAGAACAGAGGUGAAGACUCCUGGGUGAGCAGGGCGUUGGGGAUGAAGUCACAGGGUAGGUGGCAUAGCAGCCACGUCUCGAAGGGGAAGGAGGGCCUUGAGCGCAUUGGCAGGAGCCCUGUGGGUACGUGAGAGGCUUUCACAUAGUAUCUGUGGAGCGAACGCCCGGCUGAGGUCGAGGUGGAAGGGACACAGAUGUGUGGAUGGUCCUGUGGCCAGCUCACUCAGCUCAGGCAGUACAGUGGCAACACAAGGCCAAAGGCCAUGCAGCGGUGACCACGUGCACCGUGGACAGCGGAAGGUUCCUUGUAGAACGUGGCUUGGACAGAGCCUUGCAGGACCAGUGGAGAGGGGAGAAUGCAGACGGGAGGACCAUGCAAAGGAGGGGGGUGAACAGGUGCAGACCUAGAGAGGGAGGAGAGCCUUCACCUGGGAGAGGAGGCAAGGACACGGCGGGGAGGUGAGGGCCUCACUGGAAUGAGUGGACUGGUUCCUGGGGGUUGGACAGAGAGGUUUGGUCCAGGGGCACCGAAGAGCCCUGGUGGGCUGCUGGACAGCAGAGUGGCAUGAAGAAGGUGUGUUGAAGAAAGAGGAAUGCGGCCUGGGGUGCAAGAUGGGCUCCUGGGGAGUUCUGCUUCAGCUGCUGGGGCCUGAGCUGACGGGGACUGGGCAGUAGGCCUGGGAAGUGGUGUCCUGUGCCGGCCUUUAUCGCUGCAGGUUCCUGGUCUUGAUGAGAGGCUGGCAACCAAGGCAAGGGCAUAGAGGGAGGAGGCUGCAGGGCUCUUGCCUGGGAGAACAGAGGGGCCCAGUUGGUGGGGAACGAGGCUGUGGAUGGAGCCUUGGCGUGUCAGGAGCCCCCAGAGUCCUGUCCUGCCCCCAUCCGUGGAGAGCCCUGGCACCAGCCCCUUCAUCUGAGUUCCAUUUCCUUGCCAGUGUGAGUCUCUGCCUGUAAGGUUCAGGGUCAUUUCAGAGGAGCGGCAGGGUCUGGGCUGUGAGGUCGUCCCUGGAGGUGAGAGACAAUGGGUGUGUGGAUUAUAUAUAGGCUUCUGCCGGUGUGAGGCCAGGCUGUGUUCUGGGGCAGAGCAGGGAAGGGGUUAAUCUUCCUGCAUUCACAGAAAGGAAGUCCUUAGUGUACCCCUCCCCCACCCCACUCCCUAGCCAGGGUUUGGGAAACUUAAGGCCUUGUAUAAACUUCUGUGCCAAGAAGGCCUCCUGACAGAGGAGGACCUGGGCAGGGCCUUGCAGGGUGAAUAGAGGGAGAGAAGGAAGGACUUUGCAGAGGAGAGAGUGAUGCUGGGUUAGGUUACACAACUUGCAGUAGGGAUUCCAGAAGGGAGGGGGUGCGUUCUGGAACUCUCUGGUGUGCACUGCUUCUGUACCAGGUGCUCCGUGAGCUUUGUCUCAUAAUCCUUACAUCAUUGUCGCCGCCAUCAUUGUUGUCCCACGUUUCAGAUAAGGCAGAGCGAUUCGAGAGAGGCCUGCUUGCCCAAGGUCUCCGUGGGGUGGGUUUGCCUUCUAUUGAGGUCUCUGGCUCCGGUGUUAACAGUCACGCGUGUCACUGUAUUUUGCUGGCUCUCCAGAGGAGAUGGAAAAAAGGACAAUGGUUUGUCUUUGUGACCCUUGUUUCCAAGUUGAACACUGACCUAAAAUGUGGCUCCAGCUGCCAUCCGUGCCACAGCAUCCCAGCACAUUGCCAAACCCAGGAGCUGCUGAUGUGAGGCACUUAGAGCUCCCCAGGGUCUGAAACCCUGGUUUACAGAUCAGGAAACCGAGGCCUGGGAGGGAGAAGGGCUAUUCCAAGGUCAGGGGCAGAACGGGGUUGAGAACCAGAACAGUGUGGAGAUGCUGGUCGUUGUGGCUGUUUUAAGACUCAUUGUGCCCGGUUGCCCCUCUUCCAGGCCAGCUCUCUGCUGUGGCCAGGGAGUGCAGUGGAGGAUGGCCCAAGUGCUUGGGCCCUGCACCCCAUGGGAGACCAGGAGAAGCACCUGGCUCCUGCCAUCGGAUCAGCGCAGUGCGCCGGCCGCGGCGGCCAUUGGAGGAUGAACCAACGGCAAAAGGAAGACCUUUCUCUCUGUCUCUCUCUCUCACUGUCCACUCUGCCUGUCAAAAAAAAAAAAAAGACUCAUUGUGGAAAAGUUUGUUUUUGGACAGACUUGUUUCUGGGCAGACUUGAGUCUGAAAUGUCCCCUGCAUCCAUGUGCGUGUGUGUGUGUGUGUGUCCUUCACCUGAACCUCACACGCCUUUGAACCAACAGGAAGGAUUCCUUCAGACCAGAGGUUAAGACCAAAGGCGUUUGACAGGUGGAAAGGGCAUAGGAAGGAGGGGGAAGAUCAGAAGGCACAGAAAUAGAAGACUAAACUCUAGGCGUGGCCAAAAGGCUCUUCCCAGGCCUGUAAAUCCUCGCUACCAUUUACUGACUGCUCUCGGUGCCAGGCAGUCUUUGCCUGUCACUUUGUGUAACUUCCGUGGCCUUCCCAUGGGGUAGGUGCUGUUUUAUUGCUUCCAUUUUGUGGAUGAAGACACUGAGGCUCAAUGCGUCUAUGACUUCCAGAAAGCCACAGAAUUAGGCUAGAGCCAGGGCUCCGACCCAGGCCCACUCAAUGGAGAGCUCUGUCACUAAUCCCUGAGUUCCAGGGGCCUGCGCGUAGAGGACGCAUGGAGCAGCACAUUUGGGGAGGCCACCCUUCCACCGUGGUUUGCAGCAAGGGGUGAUUUUACCGCAAGGGGACAUUUGGUAGUGUCUGGAGACCUUUUUGGUUGCCACAAUUUAGAGGGUGUUAUUGGGAUUUAGUGGGCUGAUACCAAGCAUCCCCUAAAUGUCUUACAGUGCACACAGCAUAGUCCCCCCCACAUCAGAGGGUUAUCCCCUGUGAGCUUUUGACCCUACCCUUUGGGGACCUGGUUGUAUUUGUAGCCCUCAGAGAGCAGGGUGGGGGAGGGUGAGGAAGGCCCAUCUGAAGAACUGGAGCUGUUCCUGCAGCUCCAGAGACUUAGCUUGUCCUUUAAUGGAUAUUUACAAUUUGUAUUCCUCCUACACUGAGCCCUGAGGGCUGCCGGGUGGUGGGUGGAGGCUGAGACAAAAAAUUCCAACAAGGCCCAAAACCGAGGUGGCCCAGGGCUGCAGGUGAGAAGUGGGCGGGGUCAAGCCCCGUCCCUGGGAAUUGAUUGAGGUAUUUCACUGUGUGUAAUAGAUAUAAGAACUCAGAGCCAGCUGUUUGUGCUUUUGUCCCCUUUAUUAAAUUACUGCUGUGACUACGCACCAUCGGAAAUGUGUGCAAAAGAGGUGUUCCUGCUCUCCAUACGCCGAUACAAAUGUGCUACCUGCCGAGCGCCCCUAUUCCUAGUGACUGUUAGCCACUUCCAGUCGUCCUGUGCCUUUAAGGGAGGACUGCAGACAAAUCAGGGGAAGCCCCUGGACCCUUGGCUUCUUCUGCAGAGCUUUUCCUAAUGGCUUUACCCGAGGCAGCUGGUGGCUGACGGUGGUGGCUGGACGGGUCAGGUGGAACAGCCUGCACCUGGGGGCCACCUGAGCACAGCACACGCUGUCCUCCCCCUGCUGCCCUCCCCCUGCUGCCCUUCUGACUCCCUCUUCCAGUCUGAUGUGGCAAAGGUGUGCUCUGUGCCCUGGUCAGCUCACCAUGGUGGACUUGGCCUCCAUAUCAGUCUGCCCUGGUAGUGCUGGUUUGGAGCUGACUCUCCCUGACCACACACACACAUGCUUAAGGCCCUGCGUUGACCCCACUGCUACUCCCUUCUCAUCACCUGGGCCUCACCCUGGGCUGCGUUCACGGCCGGUCCAGCCAACCGUGUCACCUCCCUUCUCCAACGCCCCGAGCUCCGGUGACUCCUGUGGUAGUUUAUCCAGCCAUUCAUGCUGAGUCUCUCCUGUCACUUUCUGACCCUGCCAGUGGCCUUGGAUGAGUCAUUUAACCUCAGAAGAAGCAGCGUAGCAUUGAGUCUGGUGACUUCAAUUCCCUUCCAGCAUCAGUGUCAACAGUCACAGUUGUAGGACCUGUUUCUCUAAGGUCAGUGGAAAUUCAGGUUUCCCUCCAUAGAGAACCCAGAAUGAGUUGUCAGUCAACUCUUCAGAUUGAAUGUUAGUCCCUUUACUUUUUUUUUUUUUUUUUUUAGAUUUAUUUAUUUGACAGGCAGAGUUAGAGAGAGAGAGAUAGAUCUUCCAUCCACUGAUCCACUUCUGAAUGGCCUUAAUGGCUUGGGCUCUGCCAGGCCAAAGCCAGGAGCCAAGAACUUGCUCCAAGUCUCCAACGUGGGUGCAGGGGCCCCAAGCACUUGGGCCAUCUUUUGCUGCUUCUCUAGGCACAUUAGCAGGGAGCUUCCGGGACCCAAGCCAGCAUCCACAUGGGAUGCUGCGCAUCACAGGCAGCUGGUUAACCCACUAUGCCACAACACCAGCCCCACCACUUUAAUGUUAAUUCCUUGCUCAGCAAAUGUGGGUUGAGGGCCUCCUCUCUCCAAGCAUGUGUGAUCAGUUCAGCAGGGCAGUGAGCAAGGUCUUUGCUCUCAAGGUGCUCUCGGCUUUGUGUCCAUUCACAGCCAUAAAAGGUUGGCCGUCUGGACAGUUAUCACAGUUGCUCAUGCAGGUGUGCACGUACACACACACAAAUUAGUGUUUGAGAAGUGAAAUAUUUAGUCUUAUUUACCAUGCACAUGUUGUAUAAUAUGUAGUUUGUUUUUUUGUUGAAUGAAUGUAGUAAUUAAUAAUUUGUGUUUUAGAGGAAAGGUAGGAUUUUUUUAAAGAUUUAUUUAUUUGAAAAGCAGAGUAAGAGGGGGAAGAAGAGAGGGAAGGGGUGGGGAGAGAGAGAGAGAGAGAGAGAGAAAGAGAUCGAAAUCGAGAUCUUUCAUCUGUUGGUUCACUCCCCAAAUGGCAGCAGCAGUCAGAGCUGGGCCAGGCUGAAGCCAGGAGCUAGGAGCUUCUUCAGAGUCUCCCACAUGAGUGCAGGGACCUAAACACUUCAGCCAUCUUCCAUUGCUUUCCCAGGCCUAAACAGAGAGCUGGAUUGGAAGAGGAGAAGCUGGGACAUGAAUUGGCGCCCAUAUGGGAUGGUGGCAUUGCACCACGGCUUAACCCAUUGCGCAACAACACUGGCCCCAAGGGUAGGAUAAAUAAAUGUUUAUUUGGAAGUCAGAGAGACAGAGAGAGAUUAUUCCAUGUGCUGGUUCACUUCCCAAAUGACUGCAAUGGCUGGGGCUGGGCCAGGGUGAAGCAAGGAGCCAAGAACUUCAUCUGAGUCCUGCACAUGGGUUGCAGGGUCUCAACUACUUGAGCCAUCAUCCAUUGCCUGUCAGGCACCUCAGCAGGAAGCAGGAUUGGAGGUAGAGUAGCAGGUACUCAAACCAUGCACUUGGGGAUAUGGGAUGCAACUAUCCCAAGUGAUGGCUUAACCUGCUGUGGCACAAAUCUAGCCCCAAGAGUAGGAUUUAGACCUGGGUAGAUGGGAGAGAGGGGCACUAUAGCCUGGUGGGGAAUGUGGGUGAGAUGUAGUCAGGAGGAGGAAAUGUUCAGAGAUAGCUCAGCCUGGGGCAGGCUGGUCACCUGCUUUCAUUGUGAUGGACCAUGUGAUAGGGCAGGUAGUGGGAUGGUCUUGGAUUUAAACUCCGCUGAAGGAUUGAGUUUAUCCUGUGUAGUCGAUGAUCUCCCAUUCAGUUUCUCAGGGCUUUGCUGGUGUGGUGGUUAAUAGUGCCCCUUUCCCUCCCAAGAGAUGGACCAUAAACCACAUGGCCCGGCAAGUUUCAGGGCCGUGUGGAGCCCUGAAGGGCUUCCCGCUGGGUCACGGUCAGGUGGCUGCUGGAAGGCCAGUGCCCACCCUGUGUGGGGGGGCCUGGCGGCAGGAGGAGCUCCAGCAUCCUCUGAAGGGAGGAGAUGGUUCCCGACGCCGGGAGACGCCACGUGUGGACUCUCCAGUGGCUCCACGGCGGCCCUUCCAAGUUCAGCAUCCUGGAGAAGCGUUUUGCAACUGGAAGUUAUGACUGAUAAGAAAAACUAUUCACAUGGUGCCCGUUUCCUGAGCAAUGAAAAGUCGGAGAAGCUUCUGCCCAGCCUCCCAAAGGGCCUGGUGAAACCCGCUGGUAUUCUCUUGCCUAAACCCCGUCAUUGUUCCUUGGAAUUUCAAAUAGGUUAUGAAUGUGCUUGAUGUCAGGAAAGAUAAAUCUGUGAGGAGGACUGGAGUCAAUACAUUUCCUUUUUAAGUAGAAACAAUAUGAAGGGCUUCCUUCAAGCCCGAAUCAAUCUCACUUUGUUGCCAUGCUUGUGCAAAACCUGAGCUGCUUUAUGUCUGUUUAUAUUCCCCCGACGUCCCCCGUCCUGGCCGGCCCCGCGUGGAGUCCCAGCCUUUUUAGGCCAUGUACGGCUCGCUCCUCUCGGGGUGUUUUCUUGUACGCUGCAGUCAGGGUUGUGCUGUGAGUGGGGAUUUCGUUUUAUAGCCAAGUGGCCAAGUGCCCCCCAAGUGAGCUCUCUCUUUGUCUAGGAGAGUUGGAAGGCUCAAGUUUUUCUUUUUUUUCCCCCUCUUCCCUUUAGAAGAUUAUUCAGUGCAAACAUGGUGCAUCUGCACCUGCGGUUUGGAAGUGAGAAGUCUAUGAAAGCAUGGGCGUUAAGUUUUCAGUCUCACCCCUGAUGUGUCCACUCUGCUCUCUCCUCCACCGGGCCCCUGCCAGUUUGCUCAGGACAGCUCCAGUUGACGUUCUUUGUGGCUUAGCGGAUCAGUUAAAUAUUACCCACAGAUCGGUAAUCAAUUCAGUUUGCUCCUGUGUGUCCUCCCAAGAUUUCUCUGUACAAGUACAUGCAUAAGGGGAGAAGGUGACACGUUGCUUUUGUCACUUAGCAGUGCAUCCUGGGAACUCCCUGUCAGUCCGCGUGGAGUGUUUGCAUUUUGCUAACCUGUCUUGGGAGAGUGGUGUUUGCAGAGACUGGCAGGCAGCUGCCUUUGCCUUGAUUUACCAAUUUAGUAGCUACUUAGGGGUUGCUUCUGUUUACCUGAGAAGAAGUGAAAGGCUGUGGGAGAUGAAGUCAGCCUUCUUUAGAAAGUCCAGUCCAGCAGCAAACUCAUCCAGUAAGCAUUUAUUAGGCACCAGCUGUAUGCCUAACAUGGUUCUAGUCACUUUGGGUGAGCUGAGCCUUCCCUUCAUUUCCACUUGUUUAAGUCCUUCAAAGUCCAGCUCGGAUGCCUCACGCCUUCAUGAAGGCUUCCCGGAUUGACUGGUCAGGAUUUUUUUGCAUCCCCAGCCACCCACUGAUUUGUCCAUCGUCCAUCUGUCUGUCCGUCUUUGCAUCCAUCCAUCCAUUCCAGCGAGUGUCCAAAUACUUCCUCGUGCCAGGAUCUGUGCUAGAUGCUCUGUGUCCUCAUGUUCCACGUCCAUAGAUUCAGCCAACCUGUGGAUCGAAAAUAUUUGAAAACAACAACACCUGUGCUGAACAUGUACAGACUUUUUCUUGUUAUUGCUUGCUAACUGGUAUAGUAACUCAGUUCUCUAUAUAGCAUUUACAUUGUACUUGGCCUUAUAAGUAAUCUCAGGAUGAUUUAAAGUAAGGAGCUUAUAUGUAGGUUCUGUGCAAACCCUGUGCCAUCUUGUAUGAGGGGCUGGAGCACCUGUAGGUUUUGGCAUCAGUGAGUGGUCCUGGCGCCAGUCCCCCAUGGAUACUGAAGGCUGAUUGUAUAUAAAGCUGAACAAGAGGAUGAACUCUCUUCUCAAAGAGACAGAAACAGAUAAGUGAACACAUGGUAGCUGUGAUGACAAUCUUAAGCCCAGGCUGUUGAGGAAGCACAGAGCAAAGGGUGGCUGAUCACUGUGGUACAUGGGAGGGCCUGGGAGGCUUCUGGAAGGAGACUCCUCUAAUGAGACUUGCCUUUUUUUUUUUUUUUUUAAGAUUUAUUUAUUUGAAUGUCAGAGAGUGAUCUGUCCAUCCAUCCAUCCAUCCAUCCAUCCAUCCAUCCAUCUGUAUUUGCCAUCUGCUGGUUCACUCUCCAAAUGGGUACAACAGCCAGAACUGGGCCAGGUCAAGGCCAGGAGCCAAGAACUUCAUCCAGGUCUCCCAUAUGGGUGGCAGGGACUAAAAUAUCUAAAAUAUCUGGGUGGCAGCAUCAUUUGCUGCUUCUCAGGUGCAUUAGCAGGGAGCUGGAUCAGAAGCAGGGGAGCCAGGACUCCAACUGGAUGCUGUAUGGGCAUUGCAUAUGGCAGCUUAUCCCACUCUGCCACAAGACUGGUUCCUUAAGCUUUCUUUGUACUUUUAGUGUAUUUCCCUUAUCUUCAAGUCAUCUUCAUCUCUGGCCACUUCCCCUGGACUAAUGCUGUCUAUUUAAUAGCCACUCAAGUAUUUAUUGAGUAGGGGGAAAAGGUCAGAUGAACCUAGCAUUAAGGACAUUAAUGUCAAAAAGAGCAGGUGAGAUAUUCAUUGCUGCUCUUGGCUUUCAUGGUUAAUCUAGGCAACUGAUCUCCUCAAGGGCCCCUGUAAGUUAUGUCUGCCCCUCCCUUCAGUCUCCCUGUGUUGGUGGCAAGCAGUCUCUAUCCAUGCUCCAUCCAUUAGCAGUAGUGUAACAGGAAACCCACCAUCUGUGACACUGGAGCUGAAUGAAACAGCUGUGUGAAUGGGAACCCCAAGUCCCACCCUGUCUUUGGUCUUGGUUUCCCUCCUGGCAGGAGAGAGGCAGUUGUGAUACCUUAGGAUCCUCGCACUUCCGAGCAUUUCAAAAACAAUGAUUUCAAGAAUCUGGUGGCGCGUCCAGCUCCUUCUUUGAAUAACUCUGGCUUCCUUUGCAGCUUCCUGGUGCCACAGGGACUUGUCAGUCCAGGAGAAGAAAUGGCCAGAAUGAAAAAAAAAAAAAAAGGUCAGGCCAGGGGGGCCAGUGCUGUGGUGCAGCGGGUUAACACCCUGGCCUGAAGUGCCAGCAUCCCAUAUGGGUGUCGGUUCGAGACCCGGCUGCUCCACGUCCCAUCCAGCUCUCUGCUAUGGCCUAGGAUAGCAGUGGAAGAUGGCCCCUGCCACCUGUGUGGGAGACCCGGAGGAAGCUCCUGGCUCCUGGCUUCAGAUCAGUGCAGCUCUGGCAGUUGCAGCCAACUGGGGAGUGAACCAGUGGAUGGAAGACCUCUCUCUCUCUCUCUGUCUCUCUGUCUCUCUGUCUCUCUGUCUCUCUCUCUCUCUGCGCCUCUCCUCUCUGUGUCUAACUCUGACUUUCAAAUAAAUAAAUAAAUCUUAAAAAAAAAAAAAGAAAGAAAUGGCCAGGCCAGGAAAAUGACCCUUUCAUAAAGUUGAGAAGGGCUACUGGGAGGGCAAGGUGGCCGUGGUGUGGCCGUGGGUCUCUGUGCUGUGGGAUGCGGUGCACACUGCCUGAAGGUCGAGGAGAUGACUCCUGCUGUGCAGCUGCAGAGGCAGCCUGGUGGUGGGUGGUGUGGGAGAGGCUUUUGGCCACAUGUUAACAGAGGGCUUCCCUAAACUGUGCAUACUCCCCUCGUGGUUGCUCUCAUCUGUUCUUAUUUCUGCAGGAGCUGGUCACGGGAAGCAGGGAGGUGGGAUCGUGUUUUGCUGGUGCUUCCCAGGCCUGAUGCUCAGAGUGUUGACUGUGCCUGGCGCUGCCCUGGGCACUGUAGAUCCUUUUAAAUUGGAGCAUAAGAAACUCUUGCAGUGCGUGAUAAAAGCACAACCAUAACACAUUCCUUAGGUUAUGCAGGCUGUGUCCAGGUAUUUUCAUCUGCAAGGAACUGACCCCAAGUCGAGCUGUUCACAGGGAAAUUCAUUGUCUCUGAGACAGGGGUGGUUUUGUGGGGCUGCAAGGUGAGCCAUGCCCUCUGGGUUGACAGUUUCAGUGGCUCAGCAGUGUCACCAAAGCGUUGAGUUCUUCCUGUUUCUGCUGUCCUUGGCGUUAGCUUCAUUUGCAGCCUGCUGAUAUGGUGGCUGCAAACAUCUCAGUCAGACCCCGCCUGCAGGGGGAGAAGAUGGGUAUGGACUGAGUCUGGCCCUCUCUCGCAGGAGUCAGGAAGCUUCCGGGGACACCUCCAGCACUCUUCCCAUCAUGCCUUCUUGCUGAAUUGAGUCACGUGCCUUCCCCGAGCCAAUGGCUGGACCAAGAGUACGCUUCCGGGAGAAGAGUGGCACCUGAACAAAAUGGAGGCUCUGCCAGGAAGGAAGGGGGGGCAGCAAGCAGAGGCUGUGCGGUCACGGGGGCUCAGUGCACAGGUGGCUCCCAGCCCGCACUUGCAGAAACACGGCCAUACAUCACUGUGAGCCGGCAGGGUUGCUGGCGAGGUUAUCUCUGCUGUGCAGAUGGGGAAAUGAGCCCAGGGAGGGCUGCUGACUUGUCUUAGAUAACACGGGCGGAGGUUCUGGGGGUUGGGAGUGACGGGAUCGAGUGUUUGAGAGGCCUUUUCUCGCCAGGGGAGCUGUCAUUCUCUUGCUGUCCUGAGAUGUCCCAGCAGCCCCGUCAUCACUGAGUUCUGCUCCCCACAGUGGUUCACGGCAGGAGGCCUUCCCCCGAACACUUCCUAUAGGAAGACUUCUCAGGGCGUGAGCAAGCUAGGUUGUCUCCUCCUACCCCACCAGGAUGACUGUGGCUGAAAGCAGUUGGCAUCACACUCCUGUCUUGUGGGGCAGGCUACCCGUGCCAGCCCCAUGCCAGUCAUUGUGCACACAUUAUCGGAAAUCCUGGCAACAACCUCUUGAGUUAGGCUUGAUGAGCCACCGUGUAUGGAUGGGGAAACUGAAGCCUGGGAAGGACAAGUUGACUGUUGGGGGUGGGGCUGCCCACUGAGGUCAGAGCUCCUGCUUUGCACUGUGCUGUGGCUUAUCAGUGGCCACCAGCCUUGCUAUGCCCCUGAAGGAAGGUGCGUAUGGAAAGGGGCUUAGUGCAAAUGAGUUCCGAAGCAGCUGAAUGUUCCCUAUGGGAAUAAUUCUCAAGACCUUGGGGAAAAUAUCCUAAACAGAAAAAAUAUGACUCAGGAAACCUGGUUUGUCAUAGGUUGGCUAAAAUGUGAGUAGGAAAACCUCUCAACAGUUUUGAUGGUUGUUGGCUUUGAAAGGGGAAGGCUGCAGUGGAGAGGGCUGGGCUGGGGAGGUGAGUGAGUAGAGGGUGCAGAGUGCAGCAGGAAGGAGUGCCAGCAGGAGCCUGAACACCUCGCUGUGAGCCCCUCCCGCCAUGUGACCUCCAGCAAGGUGCUUGGCCAUUGGGGCAGCUUCUGCAAGUGUCCAGUGGGAUCCAGGUUGCGGAGGGAGCAGAGAGGCAAAGGGGCGGAGCAAGCUUUGCCGGCUGUCCAGGGCUUGCAGAGGUGUGGCGUGUCUGGGCAUAAGACUUGGCACCCAGUGUUCUAAGCUCUGGGCAGCCCUACCUGGCUGUGAGCUGUUCAUUGCCCUGAGCGCAAGAGUGUGACGGAGCUGCCUGUGGGCAAAUGUCUGGUUUUUACCUCUUCCCAAGGAGAAAUCCCUCUCUAGAGCCCCUCUCUAGCCUGGAGGUUUGGAGUUCUUCCCUGGGCACCUGACCUGCCUCUGCCCCAGGAGCAUUGUCUGGGAGCCCCACAGCCUUCACAGAUGCCCAUGGGGAGAUAAAGUUGGUGGAGAUAAGUGCCUUGUGCUCAGUGUGUGUGUGUGUGUGUGAGGUAUUUAAGAUUACACUCUCUUCUGUUCUUCCCACACACCUCCUGUUUAUUGAACACUUUCUGAAUAUUGGUUGAGUGGCUUUUGCAUGGCAAGCUGAGCUUAGCGCUGAGGUCUCAAAGACAACAAUCGUUGCCCUCAAGGCAUUGUCUAGCAGGUAAACAAGAUGCUUACAAAGCCCUGUGAUAAGUGCUAGUAGGUAUGUACAGUGUCCUCUGGGAGAGCAAGGAGGGGACCCUUGGUGUGUUUGGUGGGAGGAGGUGUCACCUGAGCUGGGGCUAAGAUGGGAGGGAAACGUGCCGGGUGGACCAGCCUCUUGGAGGGCAUUCUAUGCAGAGGGUGGGCAGAGCAUGAAAACCUGCUGUGUGGCAGUGUGACACAGAGAUGGAUGGGACCCAGCCUGCCCUGCUGCUGCCCACACUCAGAGGUGAACAGGAAAUGAGGUACAGGUGACCGUAUGAUAGGGCUGGACGGAGUUCGUGGCAACAGAGAGACCUGCUUAGCAGUCUUCCUCCUGGGGGACUGUGCAGGUUCUUUCAUUCGUGAGGGCCCUGUUGAAGGAGCUGGCUUGCUGUCUGCUGCCCGAUGUUGACCGUGCCCUUCAACAGUUUGGAUGCUGCUGCAAGGCAUCGAUUUACCAGGUUUCUUCCUUGCACCCGUGUCCUCUGUGGCUGUAAGAAGAUAUCUGAGGCUGGGCACUUUAUGAAGAGAAGAGGUUUAUUUAGACCACAGUUCUGGGUUUGAGGGCAUGGUGCCAGUGUUGUAGGCAGGCAUACAGGAUAAGAUCGAUCAGGCUUGUGAACUGGAAGGCCACUCCUGCACCACACCCCUGUGUGACCUCAUGCCCCUACCUGACCACACCUGUGUGCCCACCGGCUGAUCAGGCUAAUUAACCACUCCCCUUUGGAAGUGGAUUAAAGGCCUGGGACAUGGUGGGCCCAGCCCUUUUUUUGGCCUUUUGCUGUUGUGGGCCACGCUGCCCUGUGCCUCCAGGGCGUGUGGCCUUCAGGCCACCCACCCCAUGUUUCCUGGCCUGCAUGCUCCUCCACGUGGCUGGCUCCUGGUGCUCAGUGUGAAUCCAGAUUUCCCUUUCUUUCUUAGAUAGGGCCCUCACUCUCCUAUGCAUUUCUCCUACUGAAUAAAAAGCUUAAAACUUAUUGAGGCUGAUGCUGUGGCGCAGCAGGUUAAUGCCCUGGCUUGAAGCACCGACAUCCCAUAUGGGCGCCAGUUCGAGUCCCAGCUGCUCCUCUUCUGAUCCAGCUCUUUGCUAUGGCCUGGGAUAGCAGUGGAGGAUGUCCCAAGUCCUUGGGCUCCUGCACCCACAUGGGAGACUGGGAGGAGGCUCCUGGCUCCUAGUUUCAGAUCAGCGCAGCUCCGGCCAUUGCAGCUGUCUGGGGAGUGAACCAACAGAUGGAAGACCUCUCUCUCUGUCUCUACCUCUCUCUGUAACUCUGUCUUUCAAAUAAAUAAAAUAAAUCUUAAAAAAAAACUUAUGCUGCCUCAUUCAUUUAUGCUGGUGUUCAGAAUUCUCUGAAUAUUAGGCAAGAACCCACACAGGCUUAUUAAUAUUGGGAAUUUAUUAAUAAACACAUGGUUGAUAUCAUAAUUGGCACCCCAAUAUUCUGAUAUCACCAGCAUCUGCUUAGCUCUUGCCAGGAGGUGGGGGGAGCUUCCUGGCAGAUGGCAUCACCAUGGCUAGAGUGGAUGCAAAAGAGAUCCUGUGGCAAGGUGGGAAGCAGGAGACUGUGGAGGAUCCUGGCUCACUCUUUGUAACUGCUCACUCUUUGUAACCGUGGGAACUCACUCCUAGGAGAGCCUCAUUCAUGAGGGUGGAGCCCUCAGUCACCUAAUUAUCUCCAGGAGACCCCAUCUCAACGUAGCUACAUCUCAACGUAGGUACAAUGGUCCAUGAACCCUUGGGGAACACAGUCAGACCACAGUCAAACCUUAGCAGUUGGACUUAGGGAGUUGGAGUUGGGCAAGUCAUUUAUCUCUGUGGAUCACCUGCCUCUCAGUGACCUGCUCUUUGAAAUUCAGAGUUCAUAACUUUCUCCCCAUUCAUGCAAUGCAAUCAGUCUCUUUAGGGGUGAGGCCUGGAGUUCUGCAUUUAACGGGCACUCCAGGUGCCUCCUAGACAUCUUCUAGAGUCUCAGAACUGAGGGGCUGCCCGAUUUUAGCCUCCCAUCCUUUCAUCCCAAAUCUCAGCCAUGUGUUCAAGGAAACUGGAACGAUGUUAGCUCUCUUGAUGUUUUAUCCUUGCAAUGAUAUCCUUAGCAAGCUGGAUCUUGCCAGUGUGUGCUUAUGAGCUGUUCUGCAGGCUGGUUUUGAUAUUCUUUAAGGAGGAAAAACCUUGUUAACAUGCACCCAAACGGGACCGUCAAAAUCUGUGAUCUGAAUCGUUACAGCCAA